RNAcentral lists this ribosomal RNA (165 nucleotides) under Callionymus valenciennei. Its description in RNAcentral is "partial 12S ribosomal RNA". The record is from RNAcentral. Lineage: Eukaryota; Metazoa; Chordata; Actinopteri; Syngnathiformes; Callionymidae.
CACCGCGGUUAUACGAGAGACCCAAAUUGAUUGACAACGGCGUAAAGGGUGGUUAAAAUAUAUUCUACUAGGGCCGAACUAGUCCCUGACUGUUAUACGUUACGGAAUAAAGAAGAACUUAAACGAAGGUAGCCCUAAAAUUUUGAAGCCACGAAAGCUAGGAAA